Molecule: ribosomal RNA, 454 nt
Filed under: Vanrija nantouana
Lineage: Eukaryota; Fungi; Basidiomycota; Tremellomycetes; Trichosporonales; Trichosporonaceae
Description: eukaryotic LSU rRNA
Rfam family: 5.8S ribosomal RNA (bases 74-227)
Source: RNAcentral
ACACCUGUGACUGUAGCCAAGGUUACUUGGUCUUCAAACAUAGUGUAAGAACGUAACAAACUAUAAACAAUACAACUUUCAACAACGGAUCUCUUGGCUCUCGCAUCGAUGAAGAACGCAGCGAAAUGCGAUAAGUAAUGUGAAUUGCAGAAUUCAGUGAAUCAUCGAAUCUUUGAACGCAACUUGCGCUCUCUGGUAUUCCGGAGAGCAUGCCUGUUUGAGUGUCAUGAUAACUCAACUAAUAGGUUUCUAUUAGUUGGAUUUGGGUGUUGCCAGCGAUGGCUCACCUUAAAGGAGUUAGCAAGUAGGCUUUGAUGUCUGACGUAAUAAGUUUCGUUGGAAGUCAAAGCUGGCGUGCUUAUAAUUGCCUCGCGCUUCGCGCUCGGCUUUUUUACUCUGGCCUCAAAUCAGGUAGGACUACCCGCUGAACUUAAGCAUAUCAAUAAGCGGAGGA